RNAcentral lists this ribosomal RNA (479 nucleotides) under uncultured bacterium. RNAcentral describes it as "bacterial SSU rRNA". It matches the Rfam family "Bacterial small subunit ribosomal RNA", at positions 28 to 484 of the family's 1533-position model. The record is from RNAcentral.
GACGAACGCUGGCGGCGUGCCUAAUACAUGCAAGUAGAACGCACAGGAUGCACCGUAGUUUACUACACCGUAUUCUGUGAGUUGCGAACGGGUGAGUAACGCGUAGGUAACCUGCCUGGUAGCGGGGGAUAACUAUUGGAAACGAUAGCUAAUACCGCAUAAGAACAUUUACUGCAUGGUAGAUGUUUAAAAGGUGCAAAUGCAUCACUACCAGAUGGACCUGCGUUGUAUUAGCUAGUUGGUGAGGUAACGGCUCACCAAGGCAACGAUACAUAGCCGACCUGAGAGGGUGAUCGGCCACACUGGGACUGAGACACGGCCCAGACUCCUACGGGAGCAGCAGUAGGGAAUCUUCGGCAAUGGGGGAACCCUGACCGAGCAACGCCGCGUGAGUGAAGAAGGUUUUCGGAUCGUAAAGCUCUGUUGUUAAGGAGAACGUGUGUGAGAGUGGAAAGUUCACACAGUGACGGUACUUAACC